RNAcentral lists this ribosomal RNA (406 nucleotides) under uncultured bacterium. RNAcentral describes it as "partial 16S ribosomal RNA". It matches the Rfam family "Bacterial small subunit ribosomal RNA", at positions 30 to 526 of the family's 1533-position model. The record is from RNAcentral.
AUUGAACGCUGGCGGCAGACCUAACACAUGCAAGUCGAACGAGUGGCGGACGGGUGAGUAAUGUCUGGGAAACUGCCCGAUGGAGGGGGAUAACUACUGGAAACGGUAGCUAAUACCGCAUACCAUCGGAUGUGCCCAGAGGGGAUUAGCCGGUAGGUGGGGUACCGGCUCACCUAGGCGACGCUCCCUAGCUGGUCUGAGAGGAUGACCAGCCACACUGGAACUGAGACACGGUCCAGGCUCCUACGGGAGGCAGCAGUGGGGAGUAUUGCACAAGGGGCGCAAGCCUGAUACAGCCAUGCCGCGUGUAUGAAGAAGGCCUUCGGGUUGUAAAGUACUUUCAGCGAGGAGGCGUUACUCGCAGAAGAAGCACCGGCUAACUCCGUGCCAGCAGCCGCGGUAAUAC